Molecule: ribosomal RNA, 460 nt
Filed under: uncultured bacterium
Lineage: Bacteria
Description: partial 16S ribosomal RNA
Rfam family: Bacterial small subunit ribosomal RNA
Source: RNAcentral
CCUACGGGAGGCAGCAGUGAGGAAUAUUGGUCAAUGGCCGUAAGGCUGAACCAGCCAAGUCGCGUGAAGGAAGAAGGAUCUAUGGUUUGUAAACUUCUUUUAUAGGGGAAUAAAGGUAUCCACGUGUGGAUAUUUGCAUGUACCCUAUGAAUAAGCAUCGGCUAACUCCGUGCCAACAGCCGCGGUAAUACGGAGGAUGCGAGCGUUAUCCGGAUUUAGUGGGUUUAAAGGGUGCGUAUGUUGUUUUUUAAGUCAGCGGUGAAAGUUUGUGGCUCAACCAUAAAAUUGCCGUUGAAACUGGAAGACUUGAGUGUGUUUGAGGUAGGCGGAAUGCGUGGUGUAGCGGUGAAAUGCAUAGAUAUCACGCAGAACUCCGAUUGCGAAGGCAGCUUACUAAGCCAUAACUGACACUGAGGCACGAAAGCGUGGGGAUCAAACAGGAUUAGAUACCCGAGUAGUC